This 592-nucleotide long non-coding RNA is filed under the name Homo sapiens (human). RNAcentral's name for it is "non-protein coding lnc-POM121L12-6:1". The record is from RNAcentral. Lineage: Eukaryota; Metazoa; Chordata; Mammalia; Primates; Hominidae.
AGAGCCGGGCCUGAGGAGCUCGCAGCCAAGACCUUCACCAGCAACCAUUCCUGCUGUGCCCUGAGGCGUUGGAAACAUUCCACAGAGUAACAGGGCAGCUAUUCUUUAGUAACAAAAAUGUGUCUACUGAGAUGAGAGAAAGCGUAAUAAAUCUUCAUAUCUGCCAUCAAAACAGGACCAGAAGAGAGAAGUCAUGUCUUGAGUGAACCUUACACACUGAAAAUGUCACAAGGAAGUUUUUUAGUAUCUGUGGAUGCUGUAAAAACAGAUUAAAUUCUAGCAAAAGAGAUAUCAUUACAAAUCUUAUUAAAAAAGAUCAAGAUGAAUACAGUGCUGUGUCUAUAAUUCCAACCUCUCAGGGUUCAGCUGGGAACAUUAAACAGGAGCGAAGCAUCCACAGCUGACAGCAAGGAAAAGUCUCAAAGGGAAUCUUUGUCUUCUGGGUAUCACAUGUUUAAAAGUCUCUUCCAUCCAAAGAAAACUACACCAAGGCAGCCUUUACCUGCACACUUCAACAAGUCUCCUGUUGUGUCUGUUUUGUGUUUCUCAUCUAUGGGGAAACCCUGAGCUAAACACUCAGCAUUUUUAUUCA